Molecule: long non-coding RNA, 392 nt
Organism: Sycon ciliatum
Lineage: Eukaryota; Metazoa; Porifera; Calcarea; Leucosolenida; Sycettidae
Exons: 4
Source: RefSeq, a predicted model, not a curated record
GCGACACUCCAUUGGACAUUGCGGCAAUGAAGGGCAGACUGCAUUUUGUGAAGCGUCUAGUCCCAAACAUGUUACUGCAUAAGACAACAAAGCAACAGUGUCUGUCACUAUUUGUACAAGCUUGCGCCAAUUCUGCUGACAAUUGCGUACCAGUACUACAGGACGGCAUCUUGGAUUGCAUAGUUGGUGUGCACAUUAGUCAAGAAGACAUGGAUGCUUGCACUGAGGUACUCGGGAGACUAUCCAAACAUCGUUUAUCGGCGCUCUCCCAGGAAGCCAUAACCAUUCGGAAAGAACUACCUCCACCGCUUCUGGUGAGUUCAGGGCCUAUGUUGUGAGAAGUGACAGUACUCCCCACACCCUCUGUAACCCACAUAGUUUCUGGGCGUCAU